AUACGAAGGAUCCGAGCGUUAUCCGGAUUUAUUGGGUUUAAAGGGUGCGCAGGCGGGAGAUUAAGUCGGCUGUGAAAUUUUGCGGCUCAACUGGAAAAGUGCCUCUCAUACUGGGUUCCUUGAGUGUGGAUGAAGUAGGCGGAAUUUGUGGUGUAGCGGGGAAAUGCUUAGAUAUCACGAGGAACUCCGAUUGCGCAGGCAGCUUACUAAACCACUACUGACGCUCAGGCACGAAGGCGUGGGGAUCAAACAGGAUUAGAUACCCUUGUAGUCCACGCAGUAAACGAUGAUUACUGGCUGUUUGCGAUACAAUGUAAGCGGCUGAGCGAAAGCGUUAAGUAAUCCACCUGGGGAGUACGUUCGCAAGAAUGAAACUCAAAGGAAUUGACGGGG
Molecule: ribosomal RNA, 393 nt
Filed under: uncultured bacterium
Lineage: Bacteria
Description: partial 16S ribosomal RNA
Rfam family: Bacterial small subunit ribosomal RNA
Source: RNAcentral